CAGGGAGACAACAAAAUGUUUAAUAUUAUUAUUUUGUCACCUUAGGUCGAUCGGUAUCUCACGUUCUUAAUUUGUUAAGAAUUUCAUUUCCUAAGUUUUUCUAGGUCACACCCAUUAUUUUUCCUGGGCCAUUAGCUCAGGUGGUUAGAGCGCACCCCUGAUAAGGGUGAGGUCCCUGGUUCAAGUCCAGGAUGGCCCAUAUCUCUAUGUUGGGGGUAUAGCUCAGUUGGUAGAGCGCCUGCUUUGCAAGCAGGAUGUCAGCGGUUCGAGUCCGCUUACCUCCACUGAUUACCACCUCUUCCAUAACCGGUAGAAAGGAAAUGUAUUGAGUUGUGAUCAAAUUCUGAGCGAAUCUAGCUUCCUAAUGAAAAUAUUAAGAUGCUGGACUCAUUGAAUUAAUUUCAUUGUUUUCAGAGAACCUUGACAACUGCAUAGAUUAUUUUUUUAAAGACAAUAAGCAUCUUUAAUGAUGCAGAUUUAUUAUUUGUGCGAAUGCAUUAAUAACAAUUCUAUUAAGCUGAUGCUUCAAUUUUGAAGUUAUU
Molecule: transfer RNA, 542 nt
Filed under: uncultured cyanobacterium
Lineage: Bacteria; Bacillati; Cyanobacteriota
Description: partial 16S-23S ribosomal RNA intergenic spacer
Rfam family: tRNA (bases 212-284)
Source: RNAcentral